UCUGCAUCCACCACAUCCCAAAUCCAAGCAGCAGUUGCCGCCAGGGAGGUGACCUUAAAAGGACAAAACACAUAGACGCAGCUUCCCAUCUCUUCUUUUACUUUUCUGACCUUCUUCAACUCUCGCUUUCAUACGCACUCUCUCUCUCUCUCUCCUCUGCUUCUUGGAUCUCUCCUACCAUGUCCCAAAAUCCCCCAACGGUCACAUUUCCACCACCCUCUUAAUAAACCUCUCCAAAUUCCCACCUCAAAGCCGUUUCUUUGCUUCCAGUUUCCUUUUUCUUGAUUAAACAUGUCUGGCUCUCUGCUUUUGCUGCUUCUGCUGCUAGUAGCCUUUUCUUUUCCACGCUCUUUGCAGGGCCAAAACGGCAUCCCGCCAAGGAAUAUCUGGUGCGUUGCUAAGAACAACGCCGACGACCAAGCCUUGCAGGGAGCCAUUGACUGGGCAUGCGGACCCGGUGGAGCCGACUGUAGCCCCAUCCAGCAAGGCGGGCCUUGCUAUGAUCCUAACGAUAUUCAGACGACGGCGUCCUGGGCUUUUAAUGAUUAUUACCUGAAGCAUGGGUUGACUGAUGAUGCUUGCUUCUUUAGCAACUCUGCUGCUCUCACUUCCUUAAACCCUAGUCAGUGUUUUACUGUUUUUGCACCUAUUUGAACUGAAUAAAUCUUUUCAUGAUUUAUGACUUAUUUUGUUUCUUUGGUUGCUUUUAGAUCUGAAAAAUUCAAACUCUGCUUUUGCUAUGUUUCGUUUUCUUACUAAGUUGUCACCUGCAUUGCUAGUUCUCAAUGAAAACUGUCUGUUUUGUUCCUUGCUGAUAUUUGAUUUGUUCAUAGUUCGAUGAUUAGUUUUCUUUUGAGUUUUGAUUGGAUGGUUUCUUAUUUAAUUUUUUUUUCUAUUUUCAGGCCAUGGCAAUUGCAAAUUUCCUUCCAGCCUAUCGGUGAACAAUGGGAGCAUUUCUGGUUCAACAACGACAACGACAAUUGGAAUGGGGCCAGACAGUGCAGAUUUGAGCGGAAGUAAUCAGAUCGCUAGCACAUGGUUUUGGCCCAUUAUCACCAGUCAUCUGUUUGUGGCGCUUGCUACAAUAAUUGGAUCAUAGCAGAGAGCUAAUUUUGAUUCCUUAUUCAUUUAUGCAGUUUUUAGGAGAAAUUGUUGAGGCCAAAGCAAAGGCUUUUGUUCAGAAGAAAGACAUUUAGGAUUUAAAGUAUUGAUCCAUGGUAUAUUUCUUGUUCAGUAAGUUCCGGGGAAUCCUCUUCCACUUCUGUUUUACCUUAGCUUUGUAAUUUAUCAGCAAAGUGAAGUAUAUUCAAAUCUUGAGCCUGUUCUUUUAACAAUGUUAGAGAUGCCUUGACAUCAGAAAGCAGUUUUUUAAGCUUAAAAUCUCAGGGUUUUUUCUGCACGUGGAAUCUCUUUGCAUGUUCUCCCUUUGUAGCCUGUCCUUAACGUUUAGCAAUGAUUGCAGUGCAGGAUCAUGAAAGUUUAGCAAGGCUCUUGUACUCUUGAUUUACGAGGAGCAUAGCAAUUCUGAAAGCUUUCUGAAUGGGCUAACAGAAAAAGUUAAUUCAAAUGAAUGCGACUACUGUAGCACUUACUGAAAGCUUUCUAAAAUAAUUAGUCUUAAUGUUUCAGUUGGAAAAUAUAAAAAUCUUGAACCCGAAAAGAAUUUGUAACCUAAUAGCGUCUACUUAAUUGAUUGGGCAAGGGUUACUAGCUUGGAUCAUUGGCUUUGAGGAAAAGUGGGUCAUAAUCACUGUGAGUUGGGG
This 1763-nucleotide unclassified non-coding RNA is filed under the name Hevea brasiliensis (rubber tree). The record is from RNAcentral. Lineage: Eukaryota; Viridiplantae; Streptophyta; Magnoliopsida; Malpighiales; Euphorbiaceae.